This 253-nucleotide ribosomal RNA is filed under the name uncultured bacterium. Its description in RNAcentral is "partial 16S ribosomal RNA". It matches the Rfam family "Bacterial small subunit ribosomal RNA", at positions 524 to 776 of the family's 1533-position model. The record is from RNAcentral.
UACGAAGGGGGCUAGCGUUGCUCGGAAUCACUGGGCGUAAAGGGUGCGUAGGCGGGUCUUUAAGUCAGGGGUGAAAUCCUGGAGCUCAACUCCAGAACUGCCUUUGAUACUGAGGAUCUUGAGUAUGGGAGAGGUGAGUGGAACUGCGAGUGUAGAGGUGAAAUUCGUAGAUAUUCGCAAGAACACCCGUGGCGAAGGCGGCCCACUGGGCCGGUACUGACGCUGAGGCGCGAAGGCGUGGGGAGCGAACGGG